AAUAUCAUGGCUGAUUUUUCUCUUCUAAGUAUUAAUUGAUACACCUUUGUGCUAUAUAAGCAAAAUUAACAUCUCUUAUUUAUAGAAACAUGAAUUAGAUUAAAUAUAUUUCUAGUUAAAAUUAUAGUAUUGAUUAAGAAGAAACUUCUAUUUGCAUGCUACUAAAUUUGUUGUAGAACUAUUACUUUGGAGCAAAUUUUUGCUAGGUUUGAUAGAAUAUGUUAUGAGUUCUUUUUCAGUAAGCUAAGAAUAUGAUAAAAAAUUAAAGAUCAAUUUAUUAAUUGGAUUACAAAAGAAAUGAAUUCCAAAGAUAUCUUUUCUUGUUGCUUU
RNAcentral lists this long non-coding RNA (330 nucleotides) under Physcomitrium patens. RNAcentral describes it as "long non-coding RNA (PPAT_LNC004271)". Lineage: Eukaryota; Viridiplantae; Streptophyta; Bryopsida; Funariales; Funariaceae. The record is from RNAcentral.